Long non-coding RNA from Puntigrus tetrazona (Sumatra barb), 539 nucleotides. RefSeq lists it as uncharacterized. The transcript is spliced from 2 exons. The record is from RefSeq and is a predicted model, not a curated record. Lineage: Eukaryota; Metazoa; Chordata; Actinopteri; Cypriniformes; Cyprinidae.
UUGAUUCAUCUUCUAAACGCCUGUUAAUGACGCGAUUUUAGCGUUAGCAUAAUAUUAACAUAAAAUGUGUCGUGUAUACGUUUAUUUCUAUCAGACGAUUGAGAGAAAAGCGGAGCACGGUUGAGAGUGCAUCUUCAACCAGUUACCAUCAGGAUUUUCCUUCCUUAUAUGUACAUUAGACUGAGUUUCCUUGGCCGGGUUUUUUUUUUUCUCUUCUUCUUGGGUUUGUUCUGUGUGAUGUCUUGCUGAUGUUCAGCCACAGAAUACAGUCCGCUUAUCUGCGAAUCGAGUGAAGUGUGAACCCUUCCUGGAGUGUGAAUCGUCUCAACUGUGUGUAACGGAAAAGUUGGACUGGCGAGCCGCCCGUUAAUCGGACCCUUUGAACAAUCCUGUUGAAAGAACAUCAAGGUUGAACAUACUCGUCUUUGAAUGACUGAUUCUACAUUUAUUCUGUUUAAUUUGUAAAGGUUGCUUAUUUUAUUUUUAUUUUUGUUUUGCUCAUUGUUAAAAUACAAAUUUCCUUCAAUUCUUACCUUAAA